RNAcentral lists this ribosomal RNA (500 nucleotides) under uncultured bacterium. RNAcentral describes it as "partial 16S ribosomal RNA". It matches the Rfam family "Bacterial small subunit ribosomal RNA", at positions 28 to 523 of the family's 1533-position model. The record is from RNAcentral.
GACGAACGCUGGCGGCAUGCCUUACACAUGCAAGUCGAACGGCAGCACGGGUGCUUGCACCUGGUGGCGAGUGGCGAACGGGUGAGUAAUACAUCGGAACGUACCUUAUCGUGGGGGAUAACGCAGCGAAAGUUGCGCUAAUACCGCAUACGCCCUGAGGGGGAAAGCGGGGGACCGUAAGGCCUCGCGCGAUUAGAGCGGCCGAUGUCUGAUUAGCUUGUUGGUGAGGUAAAAGCUCACCAAGGCGAUGAUCAGUAGCUGGUCUGAGAGGACGAUCAGCCACACUGGGACUGAGACACGGCCCAGACUCCUACGGGAGGCAGCAGUGGGGAAUUUUGGACAAUGGGGGCAACCCUGAUCCAGCAAUGCCGCGUGAGUGAAGAAGGCCUUCGGGUUGUAAAGCUCUUUUGUCAGAAAGAAACAGCAGCUCUAACACAGUCUGCGAAUGACGGUACCUGAAGAAUAAGCACCGGCUAACUACGUGCCAGCCGCCGCGGUAA